AGGGCAGGGGAGACAUGGUGGCGGCUAGCUGGGCCAAGCUGCGAACGCCCAUCGGCGACUUUCGUUGGGGUCCAUACCAUUCUUCCUCCCCUCACUCCGAUGCCAAAACCAGUAGGUGCAGCAAGAAGGUCAAGCAUCAACAGAGGUGCACAUCCGCACAUGGGUGGCGUGAACAGAUGGCUACCCCAAGAUAAUCUGAACUAGCUUGCAGCAUCCGAUGAGAAACCAAGCCAGUUUCUUAGCAUGGCAGAUAACUCUCUAGACAUGAUCAUGUCUCUAGCAAUAGGGUCGUAGUCGGAGCACAACUAAGGUUGGCGCUGCUCAAGUGUUUGCAGCGGGAUCCUCUUCUACAACGGUGAUGACAAGGGCUCCGCUCCCAGUUCAGUCUAUCAACUACACACACAACUCCUGGACCUGCCUUCAGAUUUAAAGCAAGCGCUUCAGUACUUCCUUGUGUUGCAUAGUCACUAGACUGGGUUUUCUUUGAUUCUAUGAUUGGUUUGUUUUCAUCGCAAUGUAUGUGUCCACACAAUCAAAAGGAUCAAGAUAGCUUCACAUAGAUUAGUUAAUUGGCCAGGUACAUACGAAGCUGUGAAUCUAAA
Long non-coding RNA from Triticum dicoccoides, 602 nucleotides. RefSeq lists it as uncharacterized. The record is from RefSeq and is a predicted model, not a curated record. Lineage: Eukaryota; Viridiplantae; Streptophyta; Magnoliopsida; Poales; Poaceae. The transcript has 3 exons.